Molecule: long non-coding RNA, 869 nt
Organism: Rhineura floridana
Lineage: Eukaryota; Metazoa; Chordata; Lepidosauria; Squamata; Rhineuridae
Exons: 4
Source: RefSeq, a predicted model, not a curated record
UCCCAGAAGCCUGAGUACAAGACCCAUUUUCUGGGACUAAAAAAGCAGCAUUUCUUGACACAGGGAGGAUCGCGAUAGACUACUUGGCCCAAUUAUGAGGAACUUUCCUGGCAGGCCAUUGAAGCCUUUGACAGUAAACCGAAUUCAGGAGCAGCACAUGGAAAACCAAGUAGCAGCAGCAUUGCCCAGUGCCAUUCUUCUUUUCAACAACCACAAACCAAGCAAGUUCAUAGAAGGUCAAGGUUUGAAUUACAGGAAGGAAAGAGCAGGAGCCCAGGGCAGCAACCCAUGAAGAUCGUUCCAAGGCUGUAGCUCGUACAAAACAUAGCAACCAUGAUGUUGAUGGGCCUUUCUGCACAGGACCAUGUUAUGUUGGUCCUGAAAGAUCUGCACUGGCUACCUGCAUCAUUGACCCAGUACAAAAUGUUCCUUCUGAUGUUUAAAUCUCUGCAAGCUCAGGACAUAAUUACUUAAAGGAGCGCCUCUCUCCUUAUCAUCCUGCCUGGACUUUGAGAUGGUUGAGGAGGCCAUCUUAGUUAUACCAUCUUUAAAUGAGAUCAGAGAAGUUGCACCCCCUGAGGGUCUCAUUAGCACUACAGCUUUGAAAUAUUCUGUCUCCCCCCAGCUAGCCCCCAUAUUACCCAUUUUUCGCACCAGUUGAAGACAUUUAUCUUCUGUCAAACAUCUGAAGGAUGACUUUUAUUGGACCAACACUGGGACAGAUGAGGAAACAUAUAUUUUUUCUGUUUUAAUUGGAUGUGCUUCCUCUGGCUUUUAUUGUAUCCUGCAUUGUUACCCACCCUGAGAUCAUCUGUGAUGAAGGGUGGAAUAGAAAUGUUGUAAUUACAUAAAAAUAAGUAAAAUAUAAA